Molecule: long non-coding RNA, 414 nt
Filed under: Malus domestica (apple)
Lineage: Eukaryota; Viridiplantae; Streptophyta; Magnoliopsida; Rosales; Rosaceae
Description: long non-coding RNA (MDOM_LNC001951)
Source: RNAcentral
AAGCCUAGAGUGUUCUUGCUCCUUCUGCAAAGUUGAUGUAGGGGUGGAAGGCAUGGUAGAAAGAGCUAUUGCCUUGUUUCGGGUUGUGAUGCCCAAAGUGCCACCACUUGCAGCAAGGAUGUUCUUGUUCUUCGCGUUGAUUGCAGGAACAGCUUGUUCGAAAUGUGCCCUAAAGCCAAUCAUAUAAUGAUACUUUACGGACAUUUCACAUGUUAAACUAAUCUAGUUCAAUAUAAAAGGAAAAGAUUAUUGUUUACAGUCGCCUCAUAUAAAUGUUAUAUGCUUAAACAAUAAGUCCAAGGAAUAUGUAAUUGGAAGAAUGUGAUAUAAAGAAGCUAGAUUCAUGAGGCCAUUCUCUUUCGUAUACAUAUCCUAAACGUUCCUAAUCAUAAGAUUGCCAAUUGGGCAUUGACA